UCUUUACUCUGGGGAUAGGUGUAAUUCCUUACCGGCGGUACAGCCCGCGAGCCUUAUGGCAGAUUCGUUGAAAUUACGAAGCCGACAGUUAAAGUCUGGAUGGAAAGAGCAAAAC
This 115-nucleotide non-coding RNA is filed under the name Dehalobacter sp. Its description in RNAcentral is "FMN sequence". It matches the Rfam family "FMN riboswitch aptamer (RFN element)". From Rfam's summary of the family: The RFN element is a highly conserved domain that is found frequently in the 5'-untranslated regions of prokaryotic mRNAs that encode for flavin mononucleotide (FMN) biosynthesis and transport proteins. The record is from RNAcentral. Lineage: Bacteria; Bacillati; Bacillota; Clostridia; Eubacteriales; Desulfitobacteriaceae.